GGCAGUCCAACAAAAAGUCUGUCCUGAGUGCUUCAACUUGGGGUACAUAAAGCAUUCUUCUUUCUGCAAAGUCAAGCUAGAUCGAGGCACAUGCCUAUAUUCAGCGUACAUGAUUGACCAGUGUGAGCCAAUAGCUACACCAACUUGAUUGAUUGAAAGUAGUUGGCAACAAUAUAAAGGCAUGUUUGGUGAGAGGAAUUGGAUCUUAGAAUGGGAAUAGAAAUGG
This 226-nucleotide long non-coding RNA is filed under the name Elaeis guineensis (African oil palm). Its description in RNAcentral is "long non-coding RNA (EGUI_LNC027215)". The record is from RNAcentral. Lineage: Eukaryota; Viridiplantae; Streptophyta; Magnoliopsida; Arecales; Arecaceae.